GUACAAUAAGAACUUCAAGACACUGAAGAAGGAAAUUGAAGAAGACCUCAGAAGAUGGAAAGAUCUCCCAUGCUCAUGGAUUGGCAGGAUUAAUAUAGUAAAAAUGGCCAUUUUACCAAAAGCAAUCUACAGAUUCAAUGCAAUCCCCAUCAAAAUACCAAUCCAAUUCUUCAAAGAGUUAGACAGAACAAUUUGCAAAUUCAUCUGGAAUAACAAAAAACCCAGGAUAGCUAAAGCUAUCCUCAACAAUAAAAGGACUUCAGGGGGAAUCACUAUCCC
This 279-nucleotide long non-coding RNA is filed under the name Rattus norvegicus (Norway rat). Its description in RNAcentral is "long non-coding RNA NONRATT028328". The record is from RNAcentral. Lineage: Eukaryota; Metazoa; Chordata; Mammalia; Rodentia; Muridae.